GAUGAAGAACGCAGCGAAAUGCGAUAAGUAAUGUGAAUUGCAGAAUUCAGUGAAUCAUCGAAUCUUUGAACGCACAUUGCGCCCGCUGGUAUUCCGGCGAGCAUGCCUGUUCGAGCGUCAUUUCAACCCUCAAGCUCUCCGGAGUUUGGUGUUGGGGCGCCUGGGGCUUUUCGACCUCAGGGCCCUCAAGUCCAUCGGCGGGACCGCCAGGACUCUGAGCGCAGUAGUAUUAUUUCGCUCGGUAGGAUCUUCCACGGCGGGUCGAUCUGGCCGCUAAACCCCCCAAUUCUCACCAAAGGUUGACCUCGGAUCAGGUAGGAAUACCCGCUGAACUUAAGCAUAUCAAUAAGCGGAGGA
This 357-nucleotide unclassified non-coding RNA is filed under the name soil metagenome. RNAcentral describes it as "partial contains 5.8S ribosomal RNA, internal transcribed spacer 2, and large subunit ribosomal RNA". The stretch from base 1 to 120 matches the Rfam family "5.8S ribosomal RNA", at positions 35 to 154 of the family's 154-position model. The record is from RNAcentral.